RNAcentral lists this non-coding RNA (30 nucleotides) under Mus musculus (house mouse). Lineage: Eukaryota; Metazoa; Chordata; Mammalia; Rodentia; Muridae. The record is from RNAcentral.
UAAUUCCCAGGUUCUUAGAGAUGCAGCCUC